Molecule: transfer RNA, 75 nt
Filed under: Microbacterium sp.
Lineage: Bacteria; Bacillati; Actinomycetota; Actinomycetes; Micrococcales; Microbacteriaceae
Description: tRNA-Pro
Rfam family: tRNA
About the family: Transfer RNA (tRNA) molecules are approximately 80 nucleotides in length. Their secondary structure includes four short double-helical elements and three loops (D, anti-codon, and T loops). Further hydrogen bonds mediate the characteristic L-shaped molecular structure. tRNAs have two regions of fundamental functional importance: the anti-codon, which is responsible for specific mRNA codon recognition, and the 3' end, to which the tRNAs corresponding amino acid is attached (by aminoacyl-tRNA synthetases). tRNAs cope with the degeneracy of the genetic code in two manners: having more than one tRNA (with a specific anti-codon) for a particular amino acid; and 'wobble' base-pairing, i.e. permitting non-standard base-pairing at the 3rd anti-codon position.
Source: RNAcentral
CGGGCUGUAGGGGAGCGGUACCCCGCCUGAUUUGGGAUCAGGAAGUCGCGAGUUCGAUCCUCGCCAGCCCGACCA